GUACAUUGAUUAAUCGUUAAACUUAUAUGUGUAUAUAUAUAUAUAUAUAUAUAUAUGUAUAUUGAUUACUUGUUAGGAUAUGAUAAAAGUUACAGAUUCAACAAUUUAUGGUUUGAAAGUUUUUCUUGUCAAACUAACAAGCUGCGUAGUUACACUAUGUUUCCCCGAGUAAAAUUCUCGGACAGCCCCGAACACAGGCGAAGCCUAGCUCUUUGUUUUCGCCAUGGACGCAGGAGACCUAGUGGUUGAACACGACUCUAUGGACGAUCUCAGCAGAAACCGAUUCAGACAGACUCUCCACAAUCGCCGAAGCCGAGGGCUAGUCUCUUCCCAUUUCAAUCCAUUCUCGAGAAUUUCUGGUUGAAUUUUACCAUCUGCGUUGAUUGUUUCCUGUUUCCUGUUUCCCUUGGCUUCCGUUAUCUCGACCAACAUUUAUUACCUAAAAUGUUCUAAUUAGAUUUUGGGGGUUUCAGUUUCAUUUGUUGAAUUUGAUGAUUCGGUUCUAAUUAGUAACAUAGCUUGCUUGAAGUUGAUUUGAGUUUUGUUAUAGCAGCAAUGGAAUGGAGAUAGCAUGACCUGCCUUCAAAUCAAAUAUGCAGGUAAUGGAAAAUCAGUUUUUCAAUUUUUUUAAAAAAAAAGGUAAUGGAAAAUCUCAGAACAGAGAUUGGUGCUGUAGUGAUAUAAAGCCACAGGUUGAGAGCUAAAGUAUUUCUCUUGCAUCAAAGCUCUAAACACCUUUACAAGAUUAGUUGUGAUUGCAUUUGAAUUAUAGUUUAAAUAAGCCCAGAAGCUGCAAAUAGAAAGAAAAAAUAAGAGUGAAUAAAUGUUCUUAACUUGUGACAUAUUUAUCUCUUCCAUGACAUGUUUAUCUCUUCCCAGGUUUGAGACUAACAAUGCAAGCCUCAAAGACCCACAACAAGAAAACACAGAUAAUGUUUUUAAACUGCUUAGCUAAUUGUGAGCAGAUGAUGAGAGUAUAAGAGAGUAAGCACAUGUCGAUGCAAUCAUUGCUGUAAUCACAAACUAUAAUGUUGGAGAAUCUGAUGUUCGCUGCCUUCUUGAAUCUAGAACUUGUUCAUCAUUAGUGUAUUGACUCUGAUUCGCUCCCACUUGGUCCUGCUCAGUUCGCUCUCUAUUGCGAGUCUAUACUUUGAGCAUCUGGUCUUGCUUACUGAGCAUCUGAUCCAACCAGCUUAACAUCUGCUUCAAAAUUUUGAUUACUGCAUCACUAGCAUUUCUAGCUUCUGGUGGAACUUGUGAUGAUUGUGAUGAUGUUGAUGCACCUGGGAAGUUUUGAGCAGGAUCCAUUACUAACAUAAGCAAACAUGAGCAAAAAGAUUUGUAGUUUUAGAAGCACCAAACAGGGCAGAGGAUGAGUGUAAUUACAGAGAGAAAGGGGCAGCUGCAGAGAGAUUAAGGCAUCUGCAGGAAGCUGAGAUGAUGAGGAUGCACCAGUGUCUCCCUGGAAGAUUUGAGAAGUCCCCAUUGCUAACAAAAUCACAAGGAAAACAAUGAUAAGUUCUAAUUAGUAUGGUGUAAUACAAAAAUAUAAUAAAUCGUAGAUGACAUCUUUAUAAUAUUAAUUGUAGAUGACAUCUUUAUAAUAUUAUCUGAAAAAUCAUUUCUUA
Brassica napus (rape) is the source of this 1628-nucleotide long non-coding RNA. RefSeq lists it as uncharacterized. The record is from RefSeq and is a predicted model, not a curated record. NCBI's taxonomy places the organism in Eukaryota, Viridiplantae, Streptophyta, Magnoliopsida, Brassicales, Brassicaceae. The transcript is spliced from 2 exons.